UAAUAGCGUACCAACGAGACGACGGGUAGCCGGCUGAGAGGGCGACCGGCCCACACUGGGACUGAGACACGCCCCAGACUCCUACGGGAGGCAGCAGUGGGGAAUAUUGCGCAAUGGGCGAAAGCCUGACGCAGCGACGCCGCGUGGGGGAUGAAUGCCUUCGGGUUGUAAACCCCUUUCAGCAGGGACGAAGCGAAAGUGACGGUACCUGCAGAAGAAGCGCCGGCUAACUACGUGCCAGCAGCCGCGGUAACACGUAGGGCGCAAGCGUUGUCCGGAAUUAUUGGGCGUAAAGAGCUGGUAGGUGGUCUGUUGCGUCCGCUGUGAAAAAACAGGGAUUAAACAUGGCCUUGCAGUGGAUACGGGCAGACUAGAGGUAGGUAGGGGAGAAUGGAAUUCCCGGUGUAGCGGUGAAAUG
This 418-nucleotide ribosomal RNA is filed under the name uncultured Actinomycetes bacterium. RNAcentral describes it as "bacterial SSU rRNA". It matches the Rfam family "Bacterial small subunit ribosomal RNA", at positions 258 to 688 of the family's 1533-position model. Lineage: Bacteria; Bacillati; Actinomycetota; Actinomycetes. The record is from RNAcentral.